Leptidea sinapis is the source of this 1257-nucleotide long non-coding RNA. RefSeq lists it as uncharacterized. The transcript has 2 exons. The record is from RefSeq and is a predicted model, not a curated record. NCBI's taxonomy places the organism in Eukaryota, Metazoa, Arthropoda, Insecta, Lepidoptera, Pieridae.
CCAAAGCAAACAUUUAAUUUGUAAUUCAAUGAACUAUAUUUAUUUAUUUUACUAUUAUUUAAAAUAAAAAUAUGUACAUGUAUUACGAUUUUAAUUAAAAUAAAUACCAUUCCUCAUGGCUAUAUGGAACUAUGUGCGUGUAUAUUGUUUUACCUCGAUAAAAGUUAAUAAUUGAGAUAAGAAAGCCCGAGUCACCUUAAUGAAAUGUUCUUACAUAAUUAUGUCUUCAACUGCACAACGUAGAUGUAAUAAUGAACACAUAACACAACACGCCAGAGUCAGCUAUCACAUUAAUGGAAGGCUCGUUCAAUAAGGUGCGUGUGUGUUGAGUUAAAAGUGACAGAACAACCGAAGACCGAAUAAAUGAUUAAGAAAGUACACAAUCACAGUACGUUUUUUUGCCGAAGAAACAAAAAUUUCGACUGCUUGUAUGCAUAGCCUUUUACACGAAUGCUUUGGGAUGGAAACGUUAACGCGCGCUGGAUUUCCGAAAUGCUUACAGACGUACAAAAACAAAUGAGUCUGAACAUUUCUUGAACUUAUGUAAGAACAACAUCUAAACAUCUUGUAGCUCGAUUUAUAACCCUGGAUGAUGCCUGAUAGAUAGUCUUUGACCAGCGAACAGCAUUUUAACCUUUCUUUUCCGAGAUAGCAAAGACUAUGGAGCUCCAGACUGAACAUUUCUUGAACUUCUGUAAGAACAACAUCUAAACAUCUUGUAGCUCGAUUUAUAACCAUGGAUGAUACCUCAUAGAUAGUCAUUGACCAGAGAACAGCAUUUUUACCUUUCUUUUCUGAGAUAGUAAAGACUAUGGAGCUUCUGUUACUGGCUCUUUAUAGGAUUAAAAUAAAAUGAUUAAUGAAAUUCAUGAAAACCUGAAAAUGCCCCCGGUGAUUUUUACCUAUCUCCUAGGUUGAAGGAUUUGUAAGGAAUGAAGGAAGAUGAUGAAACCAUAGUAGCUGCAAAACAGGAAUUUUUCAAACAAGGAAUUUUAAGAGUUAAAGUUAAAAGGAAGUUAUAAAGAGAUAUUCCAAGUGUGUUAAACUUAAAAAAGCAAAUUAUGUUUGAUAAAAGUUUCCGACAAUAUUCAUUUUUUACAGGCGUUUAGAAAAAGAGAAUAUAUGGAAUUGUAAUGUUUUCCUCUAUUAAAUUCCGUUAUGCCAUACUUUAUAUUAGUAUGUAAAACGUUUUGAGUAAGGCUACAGCAGAUGUGUGAUACAAAUGAAUUAAAACUGAUAAAUUAAUUCAAGCGAUAA